GCAUGCCUACGGGGCGCAGCAGUGAGGAAUAUUGGUCAAUGGGCGGAAGCCUGAACCAGCCAAGUCGCGUGAGGGAAGAAGGCCCUGCGGGUCGCAGACCUCUUUGGACGGGGAGCAAGGCCGCCGACGUGUCGGCGGAAGGAGAGUACCCGUAGAACAAGCAUCGGCUAACUCCGUGCCAGCAGCCGCGGUAAUACGGAGGAUGCGAGCGUUAUCCGGAUUUAUUGGGUUUAAAGGGUACGCAGGCGGCACGGCAAGCCGGCGGUCAAAUCCCGGGGCCCAACCCCGCCCAGCC
This 295-nucleotide ribosomal RNA is filed under the name uncultured bacterium. RNAcentral describes it as "partial 16S ribosomal RNA". It matches the Rfam family "Bacterial small subunit ribosomal RNA", at positions 333 to 624 of the family's 1533-position model. The record is from RNAcentral.